AUUGAACGCUGGCGGCAGGCCUAACACAUGCAAGUCGAGCGGAGAGGGGGACGGGUGAGUACUGCAUAGGAAGCUGCCUGGGGGUGGGGUAUAAAGUACGGAAACGGGAGAUAAUGACACAUACUAUAAGAGGAGCCUAGGUGGGAUUAGAUAGUUGGGGGGGAAAAGGAGAACAAAGGCGACGAUCUAUAACUGGGCUGAGGGGAUGAUCAGUCACAGUGGAACGGAGACACGGUCCAGACUCCUACGGGAGGCAGCAGUGGGGAAUAUUGGACAAUGGGCGAAAGCCUGAUCCAGCCAUGCCGCGUGUGUGAAGAAGGUCUUCGGAUUGUAAAGCACUUUAAGUUGGGAGGCGUUACCAACAGAAUAAGCACCGGCUAACUUCGUGCCAGCCGCCGCGGUAAUUC
This 407-nucleotide ribosomal RNA is filed under the name uncultured bacterium. Its description in RNAcentral is "partial 16S ribosomal RNA". It matches the Rfam family "Bacterial small subunit ribosomal RNA", at positions 29 to 526 of the family's 1533-position model. The record is from RNAcentral.